GAUAUGGAACCUAACGAAUAUUGU
This 24-nucleotide non-coding RNA is filed under the name Arabidopsis thaliana (thale cress). The record is from RNAcentral. Lineage: Eukaryota; Viridiplantae; Streptophyta; Magnoliopsida; Brassicales; Brassicaceae.